Non-coding RNA from Arthrobotrys conoides, 87 nucleotides. The record is from the annotation of a GenBank genome assembly. NCBI's taxonomy places the organism in Eukaryota, Fungi, Ascomycota, Orbiliomycetes, Orbiliales, Orbiliaceae.
GGACCCGUAGUGUAAUUGGAUGCACUUCCCAUAUACAUUUGCCGACUUUUAAUCGGGGCAGUAUAGGUUCGACUCCUAUCGGGGCCG